This 1277-nucleotide long non-coding RNA is filed under the name Mastacembelus armatus (zig-zag eel). RNAcentral describes it as "lncRNA (ENSMAMG00000028551.1)". Lineage: Eukaryota; Metazoa; Chordata; Actinopteri; Synbranchiformes; Mastacembelidae. The record is from RNAcentral.
CAAAGAGGAGGUUCUUGGAUGUAGUGAAGGAGGACAUGAGGAUAGUUGGUGUGGGUGAGGAGGAUACAGAGGAUAGGGUUAAAUGGAGGCAGAUGAUUCGCUGUGGCGACCCCUGGAGGGAGCAGCCGAAAGGAAAAGAAGAUUUAAAAACUGCGUGAUGUGUUUACUUGUGUUAUCUUUGACUAAUAUUUAAAUUUGUUUGAUGAUCUGAAACAUUAAAGUGUGACAAAAAUGCAAAAAAAUAAGAAAUCAGGAAGGGGGCCAACACUUUUUCACACCAUUGUAUCUAAUAAUUCUGUUAAAGCACAUUUCUCUCUCAGGUUCAUCCACCCACAAGGACUUAUACCUAAACCACAUACUGAAGUACAAGCAAACCAUUACUCAAACAAAAUCUGACUUCUAUGCCUCUCUUAUUGUAUCCGCCUCUGGCUCCACGCGUUCCCUCUUCUCCACUGUCAAAAAUUUAUUGGGCCCUCCCGAUACUCCUCUCUUCCCCUCACUCUCCACCACCUUGUGCAAUAACUUCCUGGAUUUCUUCUCAUCAAAAAUCGAAAAUAUACACCAGCAAUUUCCCCCCAUCUGUGACACUGCGAACUGCCUCCACUGUACCUUACCCUGUCUAUCAGUAUCCUCCCUGCUUUCGAGUUUUAUCAUUCCACCCACCACGGUUAUCUCUUCCCUGAUCCUCAAAUCCAAACCCUCAACCUGCAAACUUGACCCCCUACCAACCAACCUCGUCAAGCUCUGUCUCCCCUCUCUCCUUCCUCAUGUUACCCACAUUAUUCACACUUCCCUCAGUUCUGGUAUCGUACCCCCAUCACUCAAGACAGCCAUCAUCACACCAAUCCUAAAAAAACCUGGUCUCGAUCCUGCGAACCUUAACAACUUCCGCCCUAUCUCCAAUCUCCCGUUCCUCUCUAAAAUUCUUGAAAAAGUUGUCCACCACCAGGUCCAUACCCACCUUGCCGCCAAUAGCCUAUACGAACACUUUCAAUCUGGUUUCCGCCAACUUCACAGCACUGAAACUGCCCUGGUCAAAAUCACCAACGACCUCCUAGUAGCCACAGACUCUGGCCUUGUCUCCAUCCUCAUCCUCCUUGACCUAACUGCAGCUUUUGACACCAUCUCACACAAUAUUCUCCUUCAUCGCCUUGCUUCCAUCGGCAUAGCCGGCUCGGUCCUCUCAUGGUUCACCUCCUACCUCUCUGACCGCACCCAGUCCGUCCAUCUCCAGAACUUCCACUCUCAGCCCUCUACUGUCAGUUGUGGCGUGCCCC